UUGUAAAAUGAGAUUAUAUGAUAAUAAUUGGAGGAUAUUAAGCAUGCUACUAUAUGUUGAUGUGUUGAACAUGAAUUAAGUUAAGCUAAAGCAAGCUAAUGUGUAUUAAGAUGAUGUAUUUGAGUUCCUAUAACUUUUAUUUGAGAAAUAUGAGUGAUAUGUCAAUAAGCAUUGCUGUUAGUUUUCGGGUUGGACAGAACAGUAUGUUUCGGGGUACUUUUGAUGAUGUUUUCGUAGUCCAAAUAACUUGAAAUUUUUACUGUAAUAACUUCAUCAUGUGUAGUCGUUCUCUGCAAAAUUUCAGCUAAAUCCGAGACCAUUAGAUAUGCUAAAUUAUUUUCUAAAAUGUACUGCGCGAAAGCAGCGAAGUUCAGUGGCAGAUUCUGCCUUUUGUGAUAUAACUUCCCAUACACUUGAUGUAUUGUAUUUUUGUAACUUUCUAAUAAAAAUAUACUUCUGAGAGAUUUCUAAAAAUGUAAAGCUUGUAUGUUUCUUUAAAGAGGUUGAUUUUAUAGGAUAUUUCAAAGUUGAGAUUCAUAUAUGACAAUAUAUUUGAAGUUACUUACUUGGGAUAGUUGAGUAAAACUAUGCUCAAGUCAUUGGUCAAUUCUUGAAUUGAUGUUUUAGUUAUUAAUUGUAAGCUAAUCUAUAUAAAAUGGGUUAGUUUACUCUUACUUUUUCAACUUGAGAUAUCCCAAGAGAUAUGAUGUUACUGUUUGCUUUUGGUUAAUUAAGUAGAAUAUUCAGAUUAGAGGAUACAACUCUAAAGUUUCAAGUGAUAGAAGUUUCAUUCAAGAUUUACUUUCUACUUACUUAUUAUCCAAUCUUACCUUGGGAACCUCAUUAUAAUGAAGGUUCGAGUGGCAGUGUAGAAUGAACAAGCAAGGACUUUUAAUUCAUUAAGCGUAUCAGGUGGGCUUACUAACUCAAGAGAUAAAGAUGCAUACUUUAAUACAAAGUUUGAGUGUAUGCAUUUGUUUUCAGAUUAUUGACUUGCCAAUGUUUGAGAUUUGUAUGAUACCAUCUACAUAGAACAACGAAUUCGGGUCCUGAGCGAGUCAGGAUUUGUGUACACAGAGUUGACAGUUAACCUUGGAGUUAGCUUGUCAUCGUGUUUGAGAAGGAGGCCUACUUCUCAACACUUAAAGUUAUAUGAUGCGUAGAUAUAUAUGGUACAUACAUGUUAAUUGUCUGCAGACGUAUAUGAUGUUAUGAUGAUUAUAGAGAAGUUUUACAGUUUUGCAUGCACAUGUUAUUUAAAUAAAACUCCUGUGAUGCUUGAGAUGGCAAGUUCAAUAUAUAGCUCUAAGAGCAAGCUUUAAAGUUAUUUCGGCAUGACCACUGAGUGCUUUUUGUUACUCAGCCCUGCCUAUGUUUCUAAAUAUGCAGGUUAAGCUGUGGUGCAGAUGGAAGUGAGCAGAGCAAAUUCUUUGAUGUAUAUGUAUUAAACCAGGCUCAGGAUUCCAUGUCUUCAUACAUGUAAUCCACAUGAAUUAUUUCGCUGCAACACUUAGUCUAUUCUACUUUAUUGAUGUGUUGUACAUAUUUUAAAUCAAUAGCUUUGAGAAAUAUGUCACUUGAAAGUUAGACAACUUGUCGUUGUGUAUUGUAAGUUGUCUACUCGUGAUUUUUAAAAGUGAUUGUAUAUGAUUACCAGACUUUUUGGUAAAUUAUUGUUUAAGCAGGUUAGUAAUUUUUAUUGACAUCUA
RNAcentral lists this long non-coding RNA (1709 nucleotides) under Salvia miltiorrhiza (redroot sage). RNAcentral's name for it is "long non-coding RNA (SMIL_LNC002016)". Lineage: Eukaryota; Viridiplantae; Streptophyta; Magnoliopsida; Lamiales; Lamiaceae. The record is from RNAcentral.